GAUGAACGCUGGCGGCGUGCCUAAUACAUGCAAGUCGAGCGAACAGACGAGGAGCUUGCUCCUCUGACGUUAGCGGCGGACGGGUGAGUAACACGUGGAUAACCUACCUAUAAGACUGGGAUAACUUCGGGAAACCGGAGCUAAUACCGGAUAAUAUAUUGAACCGCAUGGUUCAAUAGUGAAAGACGGUUUUGCUGUCACUUAUAGAUGGAUCCGCGCCGCAUUAGCUAGUUGGUAAGGUAACGGCUUACCAAGGCAACGAUGCGUAGCCGACCUGAGAGGGUGAUCGGCCACACUGGAACUGAGACACGGUCCAGACUCCUACGGGAGGCAGCAGUGGGGAAUCUUCCGCAAUGGGCGAAAGCUUGACGGAGCAACGCCGCGGGAGUGAUGAAGGGCUUCGGAUCGUAAAACUCUGUUAUUAGGGAAAAACAAAUGUGUAAGUAACGAUGCACGUCUGGAGGGUACCUAAUCAGAAAGCCACGGCUAACUAGGG
Molecule: ribosomal RNA, 496 nt
Filed under: uncultured bacterium
Lineage: Bacteria
Description: partial 16S ribosomal RNA
Rfam family: Bacterial small subunit ribosomal RNA
Source: RNAcentral